Molecule: ribosomal RNA, 459 nt
Filed under: uncultured bacterium
Lineage: Bacteria
Description: partial 16S ribosomal RNA
Rfam family: Bacterial small subunit ribosomal RNA
Source: RNAcentral
CCUACGGGCGGCAGCAGUGAGGAAUAUUGGUCAAUGGGCGGAAGCCUGAACCAGCCAAGUAGCGUGCGGGAUGAAGGCCCUACGGGUCGUAAACCGCUGUUGCACGGGGAUAACACCCUCCACUUGUGGAGGUCUGCAGGUACCGUGCGAAUAAGGGCCGGCUAAUUCCGUGCCAGCAGCCGCGGUAAUACGGAAGGCCCGAGCGUUAUCCGGAUUCAUUGGGCUUAAAGGGAGCGUAGGCGGGCGUUCAAGUCAGCUGUAAAAGCGCGCGGCUCAACCGCGCCCCGCAGUUGAAACUGGACGCCUUGAGUUCACAACAGGCAGGCGGAAUUCGUGGUGUAGCGGUGAAAUGCAUAGAUAUCACGAGGAACCCCGAUUGCAAAGGCAGCCUGCCGGGGUGCGACUGACGCUGAGGCUCGAAGGUGCGGGUAUCAAACAGGAUUAGAUACCCGAGUAGUC